Cercocebus atys (sooty mangabey) is the source of this 2784-nucleotide long non-coding RNA. RefSeq lists it as uncharacterized. The transcript is spliced from 4 exons. The record is from RefSeq and is a predicted model, not a curated record. NCBI's taxonomy places the organism in Eukaryota, Metazoa, Chordata, Mammalia, Primates, Cercopithecidae.
AAAUUUUAAAUGGCUGUUUCUCUCAGGACUUAUGGGAGCAAAAAAGGAAAAUGAAUAUCCUUCGAAAUAGUAACAAUAUUACUUAGGCAAGUUUUAAAAUUUGGAUAAAGAUACACAGUUUCAACGUAGGAGAAAGAGUUAUUGAGGGUGAUAUCUGUCACCCUGAGCUGAGGAUGUGUGGAGAAGGGGUGCAGUGGACGAUAGGUGUGUUAUUGUGGGGCUUAGUUUACUCUGUAAGACUCAGCUCCAGAGUUUAAAUCUUUGUUCAGUGAUUAGGGUGUGUUUCAAUGUUCGUUUUGGGUUUUUUUAUGUGAGUGUUUUUUUUUCAUUUUCUACGCUGUCCGCCCGUUAUAAAAGCAAGAUUAUCAGCGUAUUUUCUUGUGGCCCUCAGCAGCGGGAGAUUUUCAACGUGUGAUCUUCACAAAAGCGACGGUGUCGUAGCGUUUACCUUGGGCCUUCAGCAUCUCAGAAGUCGUUACCUCGCCGCCAGCCAUCUGCAUCCAAACCAGAUUGCCAAAACAACCAGGCAAGCCCAAGAGUGACGGGGCCUGAGACCUUCUACUACACCUCGUCGGACAACUAGCCAUAUCUUCUGAGAAACCUCAGAUAACCCUUGACAUGGCAGGAGAAGGACAACAACCCGUGUGGGUUCCCUCCCAGCAACUGAGAUUGCAUUAUAACUCCAAGGAUGUAGAACUCUCAGAAACAAAAGGCAAAGAACCGUCAGAAAGCAAAGAGCAAGGUUUGUCACCUGACACAUAAACUCCAUGACCUCGACAUUACAACAAAAUAUCGCCGUGUGACCUACAACACCAGUCAUUCUACUCUACCAACAUGGGGCCAGAUAAAAGUUUUAUCACAUCAAACAGAGAAAUUACUACAAGAAGAAGGAAUUCCAAAAAUGACGGGUAAUAUAAUUCUGGCUGCCGUUAUGGUGGUCAGUGCAGUGGUGAGUAUACCAGAGGUUGGGGCAACUCAAAAUUAUACCUACUGGGCAUACGUUCCUUUUCCCUCUUUAAUUCAGUCUGUCUCCUGGAUAGACUCCUCAGUGGAAGUUUACACUAAUAAUAGUGCAUUCACACUGGUCCCCGAUGAUGACAGGUUUCCAGCCCAACCAGAAGAAGAAGGUAUGCACUUUAAUUUGUCAAUUGGCUACAAAUAUCCACCACUGUGCAUUGGAAUUUGCCUGGCUGCUUAGCUUAUUAUAAGAACUGGAUGUGGACCAUACUGUCCUCUAGUAAUGAUUUUUAUCAAGUGCAUAUGUGUUCAGUAGCAAUUCUUUCCAACUCAUGAAUGUUAAACUUAAUCCACAUGAGGAAUGGAGGGUUCCUGUCACUACUAAAAUCAGUAAAACAAAAGGACUGCCAGACUGCUCAAAUGAACCUACAAAGGGACAUUUUCUAGUAAAUUCAAUUUUAUGGAAUUAUUAUAAUGCUCUAAAGGCCAUAGUGUUCCAAAAUCUAGCUACGGGUGUUGUUAUUGACUGGGAUCCAAGAGGGUAUUAUUGGAGGAAUUGCUCUGGCCAAAAUACCAAAUGCUCGGAGUUUAAUUAUUUGUUAGAUUAUGUGGAGGACUGAUGGCAGUCCUACAGGUUGAAGGAACGGGUGCCUCCUUAUCGAUUUAAAUGGAUGGACACAGGAAUCAUUCCUCCUAGACCAAAAAUGAUUCAUCCAGUUGUUACCCCAGAACAUCCUGAAUUAUGGAAAUUAGCUGCAGCCAUGACAAGAAUAAGGAUAUGGAAUGCUACCUAUCAAUUCUCUCCUACUAAUACCGAGACACCCAUAUUCAAGAUCACCUUGAUGUCAGAACAGGUGAUACCUAUCAGGAGCUGUGUCAAACCCCCUUAUAUGCUGUUAGUUGGAAAUAUAAUUAUCACUCCCAAUGCACAAACUAUAUAAUGUGAUGAUUGUAAGCUGUCCACGUGUAUUGAUGCUGCUUUUAAUCCCAGAACAAGUAUUCUCUUGGUAAGGGCUAAGGAGGUAGUAUGGAUACCAGUCUAUUUACAUCAUACAUGGGAGUCUUCCCCCUCUAUAUACAUAGUCAAUGAAGUUCUUAAACGUACCCUUCAGACAACUAAGAGGUUCAUCUUUACUCUUACUGCAGUCAUUCCAGGACUAAUUGCGGUUGCUGUAAUAGCGGCAACUGCUGGAGUUGCUAUCCACAACUCUGUUCAAACUGCUCAAUAUGUGGAAGCAUGGCAAAAAAACCCCACCAAACUCUGAAAUUCUCAGACUCAAGUUGAUCAAAAAUUGGCUAAUUAAGUUAAUUAUUUCCGCCAGAGUGUAAUCUGACUGGGAGAGAGAGUUAUGAAUCUGGAACACCGUAUGCAAUUACAGUGCGAUUGGAAUACUUCCGAUUAUUGCAUAACGGCUUAUGCUUAUAAUAAAGAUCAAUAUAGCUGGGAAAAAGUCUCAAAACAUUUAAAAGCCUGGGAUGAUAACUUAAUGUUAGAUAUUUCAAAACUUAAAGAACAAAUUUGUGAGGCCUCACAGGCUCAUUUAACUACUGUUCCUGGCUCGGACAUUUUUGAAGGAAUAACUAAAGGAUUAUCUGAUCUUAAUCCCUUUAAAUGGAUCAAACCCCUCAGAGGAUCAUUGUUGUCAUUGGCAUUAUUAAUACUGUAUGUUUACGUUGUCUACUUUUUAGUCUGCAGAUGUCUCCGAGGGGUCCCAGGACAAGUCUGAAGUCAACGACAAGCAAUGAUGGCAGUGACGAUCCUAGUCAAUAAAAAGGGGGAAGAUGUGGGUGGUUAGCCACCCAGGUGCCGAGGCAAGAGACCGAAGG